GACGUAGGGGGCAAGCGUUGUCCGGAAUCAUUGGGCGUAAAGCGCUCGUAGGUGGAUCGGUAAGUCUGCAAAGAAAGACCCGGGCUCAACUCGGGGAACGGUGUGGAUACUACCGAUCUUGAGGCAAUCAGAGGAUGAUGGAAUUCCCGGUGUAGCGGUGAAAUGCGUAGAUAUCAAGAGGAACACCCAUGGCGAAGGCAGCUCGCUGGCCUAUAACUGACGCUGAGGCGCGAAAGCUGGGGGAGCAAACAGG
Molecule: ribosomal RNA, 253 nt
Filed under: uncultured bacterium
Lineage: Bacteria
Description: partial 16S ribosomal RNA
Rfam family: Bacterial small subunit ribosomal RNA
Source: RNAcentral